CGACCGCUGGCGGCGUGCUUAACACAUGCAAGUCGAACGGAAAGGCCCUGCUUUUGUGGGGUGCUCGAGUGACGAACGGGUGAGUAACACGUGAGUAACCUGCCCUUGACUUUGGGAUAACUUCAGGAAACUGGGGCUAAUACCGGAUAGGAGCUCCUGCUGCAUGGUGGGGGUUGGAAAGUUUCGGCGGUUGGGGAUGGACUCGCGGCUUAUCAGCUUGUUGGUGGGGUAGUGGCUUACCAAGGCUUUGACGGGUAGCCGGCCUGAGAGGGUGACCGGCCACAUUGGGACUGAGAUACGGCCCAGACUCCUACGGGAGGCAGCAGUGGGGAAUAUUGCACAAUGGGCGGAAGCCUGAUGCAGCAACGCCGCGUGCGGGAUGACGGCCUUCGGGUUGUAAACCGCUUUCGCCUGUGACGAAGCGUGAGUGACGGUAAUGGGUAAAGAAGCACCGGCUAACUACGUG
Molecule: ribosomal RNA, 466 nt
Filed under: uncultured bacterium
Lineage: Bacteria
Description: partial 16S ribosomal RNA
Rfam family: Bacterial small subunit ribosomal RNA
Source: RNAcentral